RNAcentral lists this ribosomal RNA (601 nucleotides) under Brettanomyces bruxellensis. RNAcentral's name for it is "eukaryotic LSU rRNA". It matches the Rfam family "Eukaryotic large subunit ribosomal RNA", at positions 47 to 659 of the family's 3401-position model. The record is from RNAcentral. Lineage: Eukaryota; Fungi; Ascomycota; Pichiomycetes; Pichiales; Pichiaceae.
UAAGCGGAGGAAAAGAAACCAACAGGGAUUGCCCCAGUAAUGGCGAAUGAAGCGGCAAGAGCCCAAAUUUGAAAUCGGGCAACCGAGUUGUAAUUUGGAGACGGGACACUAGAGAGGAGGAAGGCGAUUAAGUGCCUUGGAACAGGCUGCCGUAGAGGGUGAGAGCCCCGUGAAUCGCUGGAGACCGAUCAAUUAGUGCCCGCCGAAGAGUCGAGUUGUUUGGGAAUGCAGCUCUAAGUGGGUGGUAUAUUCCAUCUAAGGCUAAAUAUUAGCGAGAGACCGAUAGCAAACAAGUACAGUGAUGGAAAGAUGAAAAGAACUUUGGAAAGAGAGUGAAAUAGUACGUGAAAUUGUUGAAAGGGAAGGGUAUUUGAUCCGACAUGGUGUUUAGCAGCGGCCCGUUCCUCGUGGAUGGGUGCACCUGGUUUACACUGGGCCAGCAUCGGUUCUGGGAGCCAUAUACGGGGUUCGUGAAUGUGGCCCUUCGAUUCUGUCGGAGGGUGUUAUAGCGCGGACAUCUUGUGGCUAGCCGGGACCGGGGACUGCGGUGACUUGUCACCAAGGAUGCUGGCAGAACGAGCAAAUACCACCCGUCUUGAAA